RNAcentral lists this ribosomal RNA (2802 nucleotides) under Escherichia coli. Its description in RNAcentral is "bacterial LSU rRNA". It matches the Rfam family "Bacterial large subunit ribosomal RNA". The record is from RNAcentral. Lineage: Bacteria; Pseudomonadati; Pseudomonadota; Gammaproteobacteria; Enterobacterales; Enterobacteriaceae.
GGGUUGUGAGGUUAAGCGACUAAGCGUACACGGUGGAUGCCCUGGCAGUCAGAGGCGAUGAAGGACGUGCUAAUCUGCGAUAAGCGUCGGUAAGGUGAUAUGAACCGUUAUAACCGGCGAUUUCCGAAUGGGGAAACCCAGUGUGUUUCGACACACUAUCAUUAACUGAAUCCAUAGGUUAAUGAGGCGAACCGGGGGAACUGAAACAUCUAAGUACCCCGAGGAAAAGAAAUCAACCGAGAUUCCCCCAGUAGCGGCGAGCGAACGGGGAGCAGCCCAGAGCCUGAAUCAGUGUGUGUGUUAGUGGAAGCGUCUGGAAAGGCGCGCGAUACAGGGUGACAGCCCCGUACACAAAAAUGCACAUGCUGUGAGCUCGAUGAGUAGGGCGGGACACGUGGUAUCCUGUCUGAAUAUGGGGGGACCAUCCUCCAAGGCUAAAUACUCCUGACUGACCGAUAGUGAACCAGUACCGUGAGGGAAAGGCGAAAAGAACCCCGGCGAGGGGAGUGAAAAAGAACCUGAAACCGUGUACGUACAAGCAGUGGGAGCACGCUUAGGCGUGUGACUGCGUACCUUUUGUAUAAUGGGUCAGCGACUUAUAUUCUGUAGCAAGGUUAACCGAAUAGGGGAGCCGAAGGGAAACCGAGUCUUAACUGGGCGUUAAGUUGCAGGGUAUAGACCCGAAACCCGGUGAUCUAGCCAUGGGCAGGUUGAAGGUUGGGUAACACUAACUGGAGGACCGAACCGACUAAUGUUGAAAAAUUAGCGGAUGACUUGUGGCUGGGGGUGAAAGGCCAAUCAAACCGGGAGAUAGCUGGUUCUCCCCGAAAGCUAUUUAGGUAGCGCCUCGUGAAUUCAUCUCCGGGGGUAGAGCACUGUUUCGGCAAGGGGGUCAUCCCGACUUACCAACCCGAUGCAAACUGCGAAUACCGGAGAAUGUUAUCACGGGAGACACACGGCGGGUGCUAACGUCCGUCGUGAAGAGGGAAACAACCCAGACCGCCAGCUAAGGUCCCAAAGUCAUGGUUAAGUGGGAAACGAUGUGGGAAGGCCCAGACAGCCAGGAUGUUGGCUUAGAAGCAGCCAUCAUUUAAAGAAAGCGUAAUAGCUCACUGGUCGAGUCGGCCUGCGCGGAAGAUGUAACGGGGCUAAACCAUGCACCGAAGCUGCGGCAGCGACGCUGAUGCGUUGUUGGGUAGGGGAGCGUUCUGUAAGCCUGCGAAGGUGUGCUGUGAGGCAUGCUGGAGGUAUCAGAAGUGCGAAUGCUGACAUAAGUAACGAUAAAGCGGGUGAAAAGCCCGCUCGCCGGAAGACCAAGGGUUCCUGUCCAACGUUAAUCGGGGCAGGGUGAGUCGACCCCUAAGGCGAGGCCGAAAGGCGUAGUCGAUGGGAAACAGGUUAAUAUUCCUGUACUUGGUGUUACUGCGAAGGGGGGACGGAGAAGGCUAUGUUGGCCGGGCGACGGUUGUCCCGGUUUAAGCGUGUAGGCUGGUUUUCCAGGCAAAUCCGGAAAAUCAAGGCUGAGGCGUGAUGACGAGGCACUACGGUGCUGAAGCAACAAAUGCCCUGCUUCCAGGAAAAGCCUCUAAGCAUCAGGUAACAUCAAAUCGUACCCCAAACCGACACAGGUGGUCAGGUAGAGAAUACCAAGGCGCUUGAGAGAACUCGGGUGAAGGAACUAGGCAAAAUGGUGCCGUAACUUCGGGAGAAGGCACGCUGAUAUGUAGGUGAAGUCCCUCGCGGAUGGAGCUGAAAUCAGUCGAAGAUACCAGCUGGCUGCAACUGUUUAUUAAAAACACAGCACUGUGCAAACACGAAAGUGGACGUAUACGGUGUGACGCCUGCCCGGUGCCGGAAGGUUAAUUGAUGGGGUUAGCGCAAGCGAAGCUCUUGAUCGAAGCCCCGGUAAACGGCGGCCGUAACUAUAACGGUCCUAAGGUAGCGAAAUUCCUUGUCGGGUAAGUUCCGACCUGCACGAAUGGCGUAAUGAUGGCCAGGCUGUCUCCACCCGAGACUCAGUGAAAUUGAACUCGCUGUGAAGAUGCAGUGUACCCGCGGCAAGACGGAAAGACCCCGUGAACCUUUACUAUAGCUUGACACUGAACAUUGAGCCUUGAUGUGUAGGAUAGGUGGGAGGCUUUGAAGUGUGGACGCCAGUCUGCAUGGAGCCGACCUUGAAAUACCACCCUUUAAUGUUUGAUGUUCUAACGUUGACCCGUAAUCCGGGUUGCGGACAGUGUCUGGUGGGUAGUUUGACUGGGGCGGUCUCCUCCUAAAGAGUAACGGAGGAGCACGAAGGUUGGCUAAUCCUGGUCGGACAUCAGGAGGUUAGUGCAAUGGCAUAAGCCAGCUUGACUGCGAGCGUGACGGCGCGAGCAGGUGCGAAAGCAGGUCAUAGUGAUCCGGUGGUUCUGAAUGGAAGGGCCAUCGCUCAACGGAUAAAAGGUACUCCGGGGAUAACAGGCUGAUACCGCCCAAGAGUUCAUAUCGACGGCGGUGUUUGGCACCUCGAUGUCGGCUCAUCACAUCCUGGGGCUGAAGUAGGUCCCAAGGGUAUGGCUGUUCGCCAUUUAAAGUGGUACGCGAGCUGGGUUUAGAACGUCGUGAGACAGUUCGGUCCCUAUCUGCCGUGGGCGCUGGAGAACUGAGGGGGGCUGCUCCUAGUACGAGAGGACCGGAGUGGACGCAUCACUGGUGUUCGGGUUGUCAUGCCAAUGGCACUGCCCGGUAGCUAAAUGCGGAAGAGAUAAGUGCUGAAAGCAUCUAAGCACGAAACUUGCCCCGAGAUGAGUUCUCCCUGAC